Molecule: ribosomal RNA, 450 nt
Filed under: uncultured Glomeromycotina
Lineage: Eukaryota; Fungi; Glomeromycota
Description: SSU rRNA
Rfam family: Eukaryotic small subunit ribosomal RNA
Source: RNAcentral
AGCAGCCGCGGUAAUUCCAGCUCCAAUAGCGUAUAUUAAAGUUGUUGCAGUUAAAAAGCUCGUAGUUGAAUUUCGGGAUCAAGGAAUCGGUCAUGCCUUGGUAUGCACUGGUUUCAUUGAUUCUCACCUUCUAAAGAACCAUAAUGUCAUUUAUUUGAUGUUAUGGGGAAUUAGGACUGUUACCUUGAAAAAAAUUAGAGUGUUUAAAGCAGGCUUACGCUUGAAUACAUUAGCAUGGAAUAAUGAAAUAGGACAUCAGAUUCUAUUUUGUUGGUUUCUAGGAUCGAUGUAAUGAUUAAUAGGGAUAGUUGGGGGCAUUAGUAUUCAAUUGUCAGAGGUGAAAUUCUUGGAUUUAUUGAAGACUAACUACUGCGAAAGCAUCUGCCAAGGAUGUUUUCAUUAAUCAAGAACGAAAGUUAGGGGAUCGAAGACGAUCAGAUACCGUCGUAG